Long non-coding RNA from Alosa sapidissima (American shad), 367 nucleotides. RefSeq lists it as uncharacterized. The transcript has 2 exons. The record is from RefSeq and is a predicted model, not a curated record. NCBI's taxonomy places the organism in Eukaryota, Metazoa, Chordata, Actinopteri, Clupeiformes, Clupeidae.
CUACAUUUUACAGUAUGAUGAUUUAAAAUGUAAUCCCUUAAAUGUAUCAGUGUAACUGUGUCCUGAAUACCACCAAUUUUAAAUUGUAACUGUAUGUGAAUACAGUUGCUCAUAUUUUGUAUUUUAAUGUAUGCAUUUUUUAGGACUGAUGGUUACAGCAUUAGGUUAUGUAACAUAACAGUUUGUCCUGUCACAGUUUGCAUAUACUGUAGGUACCUUUGCCAGAAAAGGAGCAGACACAUACACAGAGAAUACAUACACACAUCACGAGAAAGGGAUCAUGUAUUUAAUGUAAUAUACAGAUGUGGACAAUUUAUAGGCAUUCCACAAUAAAUAAACCUACAAUCUUAUCUGAAGUUACUUGAAA